UGGGGAAUAUUGGACAAUUGGCGAAAGCCUGAUCCAGCCAUGCCGCGUGUGUGAAGAAGGUCUUCGGAUUGUAAAGCACUUUAAGUUGGGAGGAAGGGCAUUAACCUAAUACGUUAGUGUUUUGACGUUACCGACAGAAUAAGCACCGGCUAACUCUGUGCCAGCAGCCGCGGUAAUACAGAGGGUGCAAGCGUUAAUCGGAAUUACUGGGCGUAAAGCGCGCGUAGGUGGUUUGUUAAGUUGGAUGUGAAAUCCCCGGGCUCAACCUGGGAACUGCAUUCAAAACUGACUGACUAGAGUAUGGUAGAGGGUGGUGGAAUUUCCUGUGUAGCGGUGAAAUGCGUAGAUAUAGGAAGGAACACCAGUGGCGAAGGCGACCACCUGGACUAAUACUGACACUGAGGUGCGAAAGCGUGGGGAGCAAACA
RNAcentral lists this ribosomal RNA (427 nucleotides) under uncultured bacterium. RNAcentral describes it as "partial 16S ribosomal RNA". It matches the Rfam family "Bacterial small subunit ribosomal RNA", at positions 355 to 774 of the family's 1533-position model. The record is from RNAcentral.